UACCCCAACAACAAGCAAAGCGACACCUUGUUAUUGGUGUAGUUCUUACAUCAGUCAGGGGCACAGCAGAUGGCAGUCCUUCGUUUAUCCUAGCUUGAUGCUUGGCUUGGCGACCAAAGCUGUUUUCUGCCUAAGACACAUAA
Molecule: small nucleolar RNA, 143 nt
Organism: Psammomys obesus (fat sand rat)
Lineage: Eukaryota; Metazoa; Chordata; Mammalia; Rodentia; Muridae
Product: small nucleolar RNA SNORA48
Exons: 1
Source: RefSeq, a predicted model, not a curated record